UGAGCCUGACCGAAGUAGGGAAACACCCUAUCAAAGCGGGACUAAAACAACUCAUUUUGGUCCCAAAAGUUAUCUCCCCACUCGUCGAAAUGUCAGGCCCGCGCGGAACGAUUCUUGUCUUAUUUUCUGCUCUCUACGUCUCGGCAGUCAUUCUGGGGACGGUAAAUGCUGCACCGCAAGAGAUUCCUGGCUUUGGUUUCGCACGUGCGUUUGGAAAUAGGAUUAGAGAGCAGAUUCCUGCAGGCUUUAGCAUCGCGCGCACGUUUGGAGAUACAAUUAAAGAUCAGAUUGACAUGGCGACAAGGCUUUUGGAACAAUUCGAGGCCUUUAUGUUUAAGUACGGAAAAUCGUACGCCUCGACCGCAGAAAAGCUAUUGAGAUUCGAAAUUUUCAAAGAUAAUCUCAAAUUUAUCGAUUUGAUGAACGCCCAGUCCGAUGGGUCGGUGAAGUAUGGCGUCAACUCACUUGCGGAUAUGUCUUGUAAGUUACCAAUGGACGUUCUCAAGCUUAUCUUAUUUUAGCAUAGACAAUUUUGCGUUUUGAACUACGGAGCUACGCGCCGUUAGGCUCCGAAACCCCUCAAUUUCAAAACUGAAUAUUUUUUUGGCUCCUAAAACUAUGAAAAAUGACACUUGAGAGCCUCUUCUGCUUGGUGGUGCACCUCCCACUGGAAUUUUACAAACGACUCGAGUCAAAUAGAGAGGAAGUAGUCAACGUCUUGAAAUGAUGGACGUAAGAGCAUAGCCACGGAAAAAGAAUUAAGCCCAGAUCACACGACAGCCGAUUUCGUGAAAAUGACUCAUCGAUGCCGCUGAUGACUGUUGAUUACUGAAAAUAGCGCGGCCCAAGCUAUUUUCACGAUGAUCGAUGAGGUCGGGAAGCAACAGCAGAAUCGUCCAAGCAAGUAAAGUGAACGUAAGAAUACCAUCCAUUACUUAUUUGUAAUUUGAAUUAACAACUUACAUAUUAAAAAAAGCUAGAAAUAAGCGCGACGAAAUUCACUAUAAUAAAAAAUGUUUUUUGU
This 1024-nucleotide long non-coding RNA is filed under the name Bemisia tabaci. RNAcentral's name for it is "lncRNA ENSSSA3NGG003298". Lineage: Eukaryota; Metazoa; Arthropoda; Insecta; Hemiptera; Aleyrodidae. The record is from RNAcentral.